Molecule: ribosomal RNA, 253 nt
Filed under: uncultured bacterium
Lineage: Bacteria
Description: partial 16S ribosomal RNA
Rfam family: Bacterial small subunit ribosomal RNA
Source: RNAcentral
UACGAAGGGGGCAAGCGUUGCUCGGAAUCACUGGGCGUAAAGCGCGCGUAGGCGGCUUGCUAAGUCAGGGGUGAAAUCCUGGAGCUCAACUCCAGAACUGCCUUUGAUACUGGCGACCUUGAGUCCGGGAGAGGUGAGUGGAACUGCGAGUGUAGAGGUGAAAUUCGUAGAUAUUCGCAAGAACACCAGUGGCGAAGGCGGCUCACUGGCCCGGUACUGACGCUGAGGUGCGAAAGCGUGGGGAGCAAACAGG